UACGAGAAAGAGUCCUUCGGGGCUUGAGUAAAGUGGCGCACGGGUGAGUAACGCGUGGAUAAUCUGCCCUUCAGCUGGGAAUAACUCAUCGAAAGGUGGGCUAAUACCGAAUAACACUGUGAGACUUUGGUCGAUCAGUCAAAGAGAGCCUCUGCUUGCAUGCCCUCGCUGAAGGAUGAGUCCGCGUACCAUUAGCUAGUUGGCAGGGUAAUGGCCUACCAAGGCGACGAUGGUUAGCUGGUCUGAGAGGAUGAUCAGCCACACUGGAACUGAGACACGGUCCAGACUCCUACGGGAGGCAGCAGUGAGGAAUCUUGCGCAAUGGGGGCAACCCUGACGCAGCAACGCCGCGUGAGUGAGGAAGGUCUUCGGAUCGUAAAGCUCUGUCAGAUGGAAAGAACCGCAUGGGGGUGAAUAUCCCCUAUGUCUGACGGUACCAUCAAAGGAAGCACCGGCUAACUCCGUGCCAGCAGCCGCGGUAAUACGGGGGGUGCAAGCGUUGUUCGGAAUUAUUGGGCGUAAAGAGCGUGUAGGCGGCCGGAUGUGUCAGAUGUGAAAGCCCUGGGCUUAACCCAGGAAGUGCAUUUGAAACUGUCCGGCCUGAGUAGGGGAGAGGGAAGUGGAAUUCCUGGUGUAGAGGUGAAAUUCGUAGAUAUCAGGAGGAACACCGGUGGCGAAGGCGACUUCCUGGCCCUAUACUGACGCUGAGACGCGAGAGCGUGGGUAGCAAACAGGAU
RNAcentral lists this ribosomal RNA (737 nucleotides) under uncultured bacterium. RNAcentral's name for it is "bacterial SSU rRNA". It matches the Rfam family "Bacterial small subunit ribosomal RNA", at positions 65 to 778 of the family's 1533-position model. The record is from RNAcentral.